This 419-nucleotide long non-coding RNA is filed under the name Rattus norvegicus (Norway rat). RNAcentral's name for it is "long non-coding RNA NONRATT025573". Lineage: Eukaryota; Metazoa; Chordata; Mammalia; Rodentia; Muridae. The record is from RNAcentral.
GCAGCCAGCCCGCUUUUCGCGCCUGGCGAGGACUGCGGCCCCGCGUGGCGCGCGGCCCCCGCGGCCUAUGAUACGUCUGACACGCACCUGCAGAUCCUGGGCAAGCCAGUAAUGGAGCGUUGGGAGACCCCCUACAUGCAUUCGCUGGCGGCUGCUGCUGCCUCCAGAGGUACUCUGCCCAGAAGAAACGGAGGCUACAGUUUAGGAGUGUAGGAGUUCCCAUGCAUGCUGCAUGCCUCAGUUUCCUUACCUGAGGCACUGAGCUGCCUUGGGGUUACCUUGGCAGGGAAGGGAAGAGUGUUGGCAAAAUGUAGACGCAGGCAAGAGAAGCCGGCUCCGAACUAGAACUUCCUCUCCUGGGGAAAAAGACUUCUACUUCCCGGAGCUGGGUUGGAGGGUGGAUCUUCGGACCACAGCCU